This 572-nucleotide long non-coding RNA is filed under the name Anser brachyrhynchus (Pink-footed goose). RNAcentral's name for it is "lncRNA (ENSABRG00000009876.1)". The record is from RNAcentral. Lineage: Eukaryota; Metazoa; Chordata; Aves; Anseriformes; Anatidae.
UGCUAGGAUACCAUUUGGUGGUCAACUGUCUCCAGUGCAGCUGCUAUUACUUGCCAGACUGACAGACAUAUUAGCUUUUAUCCCCCCUAAUGCUCGGGCUACAGAAAGUUUCCCUUCAUUUUAUUCCAUUUUGAUUUGGGGGGAGAGAUCAAGGUAAAGGUGCAGAAAGUACAGAAACACAAAGAAGCUACGGUGCACUUGAAUGUUGGUCUUCAUAUAUUUGAGAUGUGAUGAUUCCUGACAGCAACAGUGUCUUCAGAAUCAGGCACUGAGAGAAGGCGACCUCUAACAGAUGAAUGGCAGUGCUCAAAUUCAGAUUUAAGAAUUGGAUUAUGACUGAAGUGAUAGCACUCCUAUAUGACUGUCAACAUUUACUCUUUAUUCCAGAGCUGUUCCUGUUGGAAAAUGUAUUUAUGAAGGUCGUCAAGGGAAGAUCAUCUUGGAUAAAUUGCUGAUAACAAAUUGCUUGCUCAUUGUUACUAUUUAGGAAUUGGCAGUAACAGCUCUUAUCUUGGUUGUAUUGGGGUCCAUCCCCACCAGAACUUGAUAAAGCUCAAUAAAAUCUUUCUGAG